GUUGUAUGGUUAAGUGACGAAGCGUAUACGGUGGAUGCCUUGGCAGUUAGAGGCGAUGAAGGACGUGUAAGUCUGCGAAAAGCUGUGGUGAGCCGACAAAAUGCAUUUGAGCCACAGAUGUCCGAAUGGGGAAACCCACCUGUUUACAGGUAUCGUUACAUGAAUACAUAGUGUAACGAGGCGAACGAGGGGAACUGAAACAUCUAAGUACCCUUAGGAAAAGAAAUCAAUUGAGAUUCCCCUAGUAGCGGCGAGCGAACGGGGAGCAGCCCUUAAGCUGUUUAGUGUGUAGUGGAAUCCUUUGGGAAGAGGAGCGAUACAGGGUGAUAGCCCCGUACACGUAGCGUGCUUUACAGUGAAAUCGAGUAGGUCGGGACACGUGUUAUCUUGACUGAAUAUGGGGGGACCAUCCUCCAAGGCUAAAUACUCCUAACUGACCGAUAGUGAACCAGUACCGUGAGGGAAAGGCGAAAAGAACCCCUGUGAGGGGAGUGAAAUAGAACCUGAAACCGUAUACGUACAAGCAGUGGGAGCCCUUCGGGGUGACUGCGUACCUUUUGUAUAAUGGGUCAGCGACUUAUAUUUAGUAGCAAGGUUAAG
RNAcentral lists this ribosomal RNA (600 nucleotides) under Alteromonas hispanica. Its description in RNAcentral is "partial 23S ribosomal RNA". It matches the Rfam family "Bacterial large subunit ribosomal RNA", at positions 1 to 650 of the family's 2925-position model. The record is from RNAcentral. Lineage: Bacteria; Pseudomonadati; Pseudomonadota; Gammaproteobacteria; Alteromonadales; Alteromonadaceae.